GUCAGCACACAGUUUACAGAUAUUAAUUACGGCGGUUUUCCUUUGUCAUUGUACCUCUCUCUGACGUAAGUAAAGCCAGUGACUCAGAAUUCUGGGCCCACAUCAUGGGGAUGUGGCAGCACUAACAGAAAAAUGAACAAGCCCGGAGAUGGGAAAAAUCUGUAAGAGGACUGAUUUAAACGGGAGAAGCCAUCUGUCACCAAAGACCUUUCUGCCCCCAGGCCCGCUGAUAUCAGUCAGAAAACAAGGUCACAAGGCUCCAGGACCAAGGAUCGUCAAGAAGGAAGGUUCACAGUGGCUUAUUGACAAGAUUGAAGAAAAACUCCUCAGAAAUUAAUAACAAGCACCUGACAGACAUGCCUGCUAUCUCCAAUGCAAGACAUCCCAUGACGUUCAGUAAUUAAUGAUGCCGAAAAGGUGGAUCAAUUCAUGCUUUGCUCUUGAACUCCCUGGGGACGCUCUUGCAACUAUAUUGGUAUUCUCUGUGCUUUCGG
Long non-coding RNA from Prionailurus viverrinus (fishing cat), 494 nucleotides. RefSeq lists it as uncharacterized. The record is from RefSeq and is a predicted model, not a curated record. The transcript is spliced from 3 exons. NCBI's taxonomy places the organism in Eukaryota, Metazoa, Chordata, Mammalia, Carnivora, Felidae.